CAGUAGCCGCGGUAAUACGAAGGGGGCUAGCGUUGCUCGGAAUGACUGGGCGUAAAGGGCGCGUAGGCGGAUUGAUCAGUCAGACGUGAAAUUCCUGGGCUCAACCUGGGGGCUGCGUUUGAGACGGUUGAUCUAGAGUUUGGAAGAGGGUCGUGGAAUUCCCAGUGUAGAGGUGAAAUUCGUAGAUAUUGGGAAGAACACCGGUGGCGAAGGCGGCGACCUGGUCCUUGACUGACGCUGAGGCGCGAAGGCGUGGGGAGCAAACAGGAUUAGAUACCCGGGUAGUCCCUGUCUCUUAUAC
RNAcentral lists this ribosomal RNA (301 nucleotides) under uncultured bacterium. Its description in RNAcentral is "partial 16S ribosomal RNA". It matches the Rfam family "Bacterial small subunit ribosomal RNA", at positions 509 to 807 of the family's 1533-position model. The record is from RNAcentral.